UCUUUGUAAGGGCAGUUAUUGAAAGGUUCCGAUAACAAAAAAGUAUUUCCGGCAUGUAAAGACUGAAAAUUGCAGAAUCGUCAUGAAAUAAUGCAUUAACAGCAAGUCUGGUUAAAAUGCCUGGGAAGAAGAAGCCGUUCAUUGACAAGAAGAAUGCAGUGACCUUCCACCUUGUCCACAGAAGUCAGAAGGACCCACUUCAGGCCAGCGAGGAGGCGUCCAAGCAUGUCCUGCUGCAAGCUGUCACUAAAAAGGACUUUGAAGAGAAGAAAGAGGAGGAACAAAAGUAUGGGGUAUUUUACGAUGAUGAGUACGACUACAUGCAGCACCUGCGAGAAACUAACGAAGCGUGCGAGCUGGAGGCUGUUGACGUCAACCGUAUACCAUCAAGACAGGAGCAGCAGGCUGCUAAAAUCCAACUCCCAUCCACAGCGUUUGCAUCAGAUAUAGAAACUGGAGUAGGGCUUUUAAAUAAGGCAGCCCCUAGCACAGGGCCAAAGCUUGACUGGGACCCGGAGAUAGUUGCGGCUCUUGAUGAUGAUUUCAAGUUUGACGAUCCUAACAACCAGCUAGAUGAUGAUUUCAUGGAACUGGCUAACGCUGAGGGGACGUUUGCAGACGGAAAAGAAUUGGACAGUGAUGAAUGUGACGUGGAUUCAAAUGAUGCAGCCAUGUCUGAUGAUGAGAUGGGUGGUUACCCUGGUGACCAGAUGUUUAUGGAUGAGGAGACGAAGUCACGGUUCACCAGCUACUCUAUGUCAUCAUCAGUGAUCCGCAGGAAUGAUGGACUCACGCUGCUGGACGAUAGGUUUGAAAAGUUCUACGAGCAGUUUGACGACACAGAGAUUGGACCACUAGACCAUGAAGACAUAGAGGGUGCUGUCGACCAGAACAGCUACAUGCUCAACACGAUCCUGGAAGAGUUUGAGAAGCAACAAGACCCUAAGAAGCUUAAGGAUGUUGUGGAUGAGAAUAUCGGGGAGGAAGUGGAUGGCAAGAACGAUGAGUCAGAGGACGACGAUGAUAUGGUAGAUGUGGAGGUGCAGGAACCUGGGGAAAAGUGGGACUGUGAAUCUAUCCUUAGCACAUAUUCAAACAUAUACAACCAUCCAAAGUUGAUCGAGGAACCAAGGAAGGAAAGAAAAAUAAAUUUAACCUCCCGGCUAGGCAUUCCAAACGAAUCACUCAAGAAGUCAGGAUUGACACAGAAACAGAUAGAAAAGUCAGAAAGGGAUGCCAGACUGGCAGACAAGGCGAGUACAUACCGACCGAAGGAUGAAACGCAGCGAGAGAAGAAGGAGAGGAAACAGGCAGUUAAAGAGGAGAGAAAGGAGAGAAGACAAGAGAAAAAGGCGAACAAGAAAGCGUUUACAGAAGAAAAGAUUCGAUUAGAAAAAGAACUGAAAAAUUUAAAAAACAAUUUACAGGGUGUGAAAAUUGUCUGAGAAAAUAUAUAAUGAUUUUGUCAAAGUCAUUGGCAGGACAGCUUCAAAGUAUCGUUCACCUAGUUGAUGUCAGUCAGGUUGGGAGGGUACUGAUUUUGAUGUCGCAGAUGGAAUACAAAGUAUCGUGCACCUAGUUGAUGUCAGUCAGGUUGGGGGGUACUGAUUUUGAUGUCGCAGAUGGAAUACAAAGUACACUAUUAUAUUGACUAAUAGGUGUCCAUAUAUUUAAGAUGCAAACAUUUGGUACAAUGAUUUUAAAUAAGUUUCAGUGAUACAAGAGUUGCUUCCCUUUAUCAGUAUCCAACUGUUUUGAGACCCUGUGAUAAACACCCAAACACUUUAUCGUUCAUAACAUAACCAUUCAUCAACUUUAAUAGCUGCAUCGCCCGAGGUAAAAAAUUACAAGUGUUCCAACAUGAAGGAGACUACACUUUGUUUCCUAUGUAGUGUGUACUGACCACCGGUCAAACUUCAGACUGGAGGAGACAUCAAUCCACUUCCUGUGUAGUGUGUACUGACCACUGGUCAUACUUCAGACUGGAGGAGACAUCACUCCACUUCCUAUGUAGUGUGUACUGACCAACGGUCAAACUUCAGACUGGAGGAGACAUCACUCCACUUCCUGUGUAGUGUGAACUGACCACUGGUCAUACUUCAGACUGGAGGAGGCAUCCCUCCACUUCCUGUGUAGUGUGUACUGACCACCGGUCAAACUUCAGACUGGAGGAGACAUCAGUCCACUUCCUAUGUAGUGUAUACUGACCACCGGUCAAACUUCAGACUGGAGGAGACAUCACUCCACUUCCUGUGUAGUGUGUACUGACCCCCAGUCAAACUUCAGACUGGAGGAGACAUCACUUCACUUCCUGUGUAGUGUGUACUGACCACCGGUCAUACUUAACACUGGAGGAGACAUCAGUCCACAUCCUGUGUAGUGUGUCCUGACCACCGAGUGUGUCCUGACCACCGGUCAUACUUAACACUGGAGGAGACAUCAGUCCACAUCCUGUGUAGUGUGUACUGACCACCGAGUGUGUACUGACCACCGGUCAUACUUAACACUGGAGGAGACAUCAGUCCACUUCCUGUGUAGUGUGUACUGACCACCGGUCAUACUUAACACUGGAGGAAACAUCACUCCACUUCCUGUGUAGUGUGUACUGACCACCAAGUAUGUACUGACCACCGAGUGUGUCCUGACCACCGGUCAUGCUUAACACUGGAGGAGACAUCACUCCACUUCCUGUGUAGUGUGUACUGACCACCGGUCAUACUUAACACUGCAGGAGACAUCACUCCACUUCCUGUGUAGUGCGUACUGACCACCGGUCAUACUUAACACUGGAGGAGACAUCACUCCACUUCCUGUGUAGUGCGUACUGACCACCGGUCAUACUUAACACUGGAGGAGACAAAACUCCACUUCCUGUGUCAAUGUGGUUUUCCAGAUAUAUGAUUAAUGUCAAGUAAAAUGCAUACAGAUGCUGUUCAUUAUGUGUUUUGUAUAUAAGCUGGUGAGAGUGUGAUGAAAAGUUACAUUUUGUAUGUAUAGCGAGUGUGUAAGUGAGUGACUAAAGGAAGGUUCUGUUUAUUUAUUUUAACACUGUAUGUCUUGACAUUAUUAUAUGUGUUAAUAAAGUGACUUUUAUAUAA
Molecule: unclassified non-coding RNA, 3098 nt
Filed under: Mizuhopecten yessoensis (Yesso scallop)
Lineage: Eukaryota; Metazoa; Mollusca; Bivalvia; Pectinida; Pectinidae
Description: protein LTV1 homolog, transcript variant X1
Source: RNAcentral